UUAGUCGGGUCCUUAGGAGAACCCGAAGGGGGAAUCUGAUGGCAAAUUGAUUAAUAUUUCAAUACCUGCUUUAAUUUCGAUGGGGCGACGAAGGAGUGAAAGGUUCGCGAGUCAACUUAUUGAUUCGUUAAAGCGUGUAGUUAUAUCCUGUGCAGGCAAAUCCGCAUGGGAUGGCGAACGUGAUAGUACUGUGAGUCUUCGGACAAAUAGAUAGUGACCCUAAUCAGACUUCCAAGAAAAACCUCUAAGUUAUGAUUAAAGCAGCCCGUACCGUAAACCGACACAGGUGGACGAGAUGAGUAUUCUAAGGCGCUCGGGUGAGCCGUGGAGAAGGAACUAGGCAAAUUAACGCUGUAACUUCGGAAUAAAGCGUACCAUCGCAAGAUGGUCUCAGUAAAUUGGUUCAACCAACUGUUUAACAAAAACAUAGGGCUCUGCAAAAUCGUAAGAUGAAGUAUAGGGCCUGAUACCUGCCCGGUGCUGGAAGGUUAAGGAAGGGGGUUCGGCGCAAGCCAAAGCUCUUGACUGAAGCCCCAGUAAACGGCGGCCGUAACAAUAACGGUCCUAAGGUAGCGAAAUUCCUUGUCGGGUAAGUUCCGACCUGCACGAAUGGUCUAAUGAGUUGAACACUGUCUCCUCCACGAGCCCGGUGAAAUUGUAGUAUCGGUGAAGAUGCCGGUUACCCGCCACGGGACGGAAAGACCCCGUGAACCUUCACUACAACUUUGCAUUGAUUUUGAGUAACAAUUAUUUAGAAUAGUUGGGAGACUUUGAAGUGGGGACGCUAGUUUCCAUGGAGUCACCGUUGAAAUACCAACUUUUUGUUCCUUAGAGUCUAAUCCUCAAAAAUGGAAACAGUGCAUGGUGGGUAGUUUGACUGGGGUGGUCGCCUCCUAAAAAGUAACGGAGGCUUGCAAAGGUUCCCUCAGUACGGUUGGUAAUCGUACGAAGAGCGUAUUAGUAUAAGGGAGCUUGACUGUGAGACCGACAAGUCGAGCAGGGUCGAAAGACGGCUAAAGUGAUCCGGUGGUUCUGAAUGGAAGGGCCAUCGCUCAAAGGAUAAAAGGUACUCCGGGGAUAACAGGCUGAUCUCCCCCAAGAGCUCAUAUCGACGGGGAGGUUUGGCACCUCGAUGUCGGUUCGUCACAUCCUGGGGCUGGAGAAGGUCCCAAGGGUUCGGCUGUUCGCCGAUUAAAGUGGCACGUGAACUGGGUUCAGAACGUCGCAAGACAGUUCGGUCCCUAUCUGUGGUGGGCGCAAGGAAAUUGAGAAGACAUGACCUUAGUACGAGAGGACCGGGUCGUACAUACCUCUGGUGUAUCAGUUGUAUCUAAAGGUGCAAUGCUGAGUAGCUAUGUAUGGAAAGGAUAAACGCUGAAAGCAUCUAAGCGUGAAACCUGCUUCAAGAUGAGUUUCCUCUUAAGGGCCGUCAAAGACGAUGACGUUGAUAGGCUAUAGGUGUAAAGGUAGUAAUAUCAAAGCCGAGUAG
RNAcentral lists this ribosomal RNA (1489 nucleotides) under Dugesia japonica. RNAcentral's name for it is "bacterial LSU rRNA". It matches the Rfam family "Bacterial large subunit ribosomal RNA", at positions 1380 to 2898 of the family's 2925-position model. The record is from RNAcentral. Lineage: Eukaryota; Metazoa; Platyhelminthes; Tricladida; Dugesiidae.